AUGCAAACCACCUCUCUGUCUUCCGCUCCGUCCUCUCGGCCCCCCUCCGCGCCACCGCCUCCGCCCCCGCACGUCGCCUUUCCCUCGCUCCGUCGCCGAGACCUCCUCUUGCUCUCAGCGUCGCCUCUUCCACUCGCGCUCUCUCCGGCGGCCGCCUCGGCGCGCGGGCUGUUCCGCAUGCCGCCGCCGGGACUGGCCAACCGCUACUUCCUCGUGCGCGCUGGCGAGUCCGUGUACGAGGGGCAGGGACUCCUCCGGACCAACCCCGUCGCCAAGACGUCCGUCGACAGCGGUCUCUCCCCCGCCGGCCGCCGCCAGGCCGCGCGCGCCGCGCUCGAGCUCCGCCGCCUUGGUGCAUGCGAGGACGACUGCUGGAUAUGGCCCUCCAUCACCCAGCGCGCCUACCAGGCCGCCGAGAUCAUCGCUGCCGCCAACAGCAUCAACCGCAGUAAAAUCGUGCCGGAGUAUAGCUUCUUGGACGCGCGGGGGCUGGGUGCGUACGAGGGGAAGAGGUUAGAAGCAUUGCCAGAGGUGUAUGCAGCUGAUAAUAUUUCGUCAGACAUCAAACCACCUCCUACUUAUGAUGGUACACCUAACGAGAGCGUGGCGGACGUAUUUGUUCGGGUAACACAGCUCAUGUCAAUACUAGAGACUCAGUACUCAGGGGAUACUGUUGUCAUCGUUUCGCCAGAUUCUGACAACUUGUCAAUUCUUCAAGCUGGGUUGAUAGGACUGGACCUGCGGAGGCAUGACAGCCUGUUCUUUCAGCCGGGUGAGGUCCGAGCCGUUGAUCCUGCCAGUAUACCUGAAUACAAGCAACCAGCCUCUAGUGUUUUUAAGUGUACAAACCCACCAAGUUGCAAAUAA
This 867-nucleotide ribosomal RNA is filed under the name Triticum aestivum (bread wheat). RNAcentral describes it as "partial small subunit ribosomal RNA". The record is from RNAcentral. Lineage: Eukaryota; Viridiplantae; Streptophyta; Magnoliopsida; Poales; Poaceae.